AUUGAACGCUGGCGGCAGGCCUAACACAUGCCAGUCGAGCGGAUGAAGGGAGCUUGCUCCUGGAUUCAGCGGCGGACGGGUGAGUAAUGCCUAGGAAUCUGCCUGGUAGUGGGGGAUAACGUCCGGAAACGGGCGCUAAUACCGCAUACGUCCUGAGGGAGAAAGUUGGGGAUCUUCGGACCUCACGCGAUCAGAUGAGCCUAGGUCGGAUUAGCUAGUUGGUGGGGUAAAGGCCUACCAAGGCGACGAUCCGUAACUGGUCUGAGAGGAUGAUCAGUCACACUGGAGCUGAGACACGGUCCAGACACUUAGGGGAGGCAGCAGUGGGGAAUAUUGGAAGAUGGGCGAAAGACUGCUCCAGCCAUGCCGCGUGUGUGAAGAAGGUCUUCGGAUUGUAAAGCACUUUAAGUUGGGAGGAAGGGCAGUAAGUUAAUACCUGGCUGUUUGGACGUUACCAACAGAAUAAGCACCGGCUACUUUCGU
RNAcentral lists this ribosomal RNA (483 nucleotides) under uncultured bacterium. Its description in RNAcentral is "partial 16S ribosomal RNA". It matches the Rfam family "Bacterial small subunit ribosomal RNA", at positions 30 to 506 of the family's 1533-position model. The record is from RNAcentral.